GACGAACGCUGGCGGCGUGCUUAACACAUGCAAGUCGAACGGAAAGGCCCUGCUUUUGUGGGGUGCUCGAGUGGCGAACGGGUGAGUAACACGUGAGUAACCUGCCCUUGACUUUGGGAUAACUUCAGGAAACUGGGGCUAAUACCGGAUAGGAGCUCCUGCUGCAUGGUGGGGGUUGGAAAGUUUCGGCGGUUGGGGAUGGACUCGCGGCUUAUCAGCUUGUUGGUGGGGUAGUGGCUUACCAAGGCUUUGACGGGUAGCCGGCCUGAGAGGGUGACCGGCCACAUUGGGACUGAGAUACGGCCCAGACUCCUACGGGAGGCAGCAGUGGGGAAUAUUGCACAAUGGGCGGAAGCCUGAUGCAGCAACGCCGUGUGCGGGAGGACGGCCUUCGGGUUGUAAACCGCUUUCGCUCAUGACGAAGCUUUGUGUGACGGUAGUGGGUAAAGAAGCACCGGCUAACUACGUG
This 469-nucleotide ribosomal RNA is filed under the name uncultured bacterium. RNAcentral describes it as "partial 16S ribosomal RNA". It matches the Rfam family "Bacterial small subunit ribosomal RNA", at positions 28 to 507 of the family's 1533-position model. The record is from RNAcentral.